RNAcentral lists this ribosomal RNA (497 nucleotides) under uncultured bacterium. RNAcentral's name for it is "partial 16S ribosomal RNA". It matches the Rfam family "Bacterial small subunit ribosomal RNA", at positions 28 to 507 of the family's 1533-position model. The record is from RNAcentral.
GAUGAACGCUGGCGGCGUGCCUAAUACAUGCAAGUCGAGCGAACGGACGAGAAGCUUGCUUCUCUGAUGUUAGCGGCGGACGGGUGAGUAACACGUGGAUAACCUACCUAUAGGACUGGGAUAACUUCGGGAAACCGGAGCUAAUACCGGAUAAUAUUUUGAACCGCAUGGUUCAAAAGUGAAAGACGGUCUUGCUGUCACUUAUAGAUGGAUCCGCGCUGCAUUAGCUAGUUGGUAAGGUAACGGCUUACCAAGGCAACGAUGCAUAGCCGACCUGAGAGGGUGAUCGGCCACACUGGAACUGAGACACGGUCCAGACUCCUACGGGAGGCAGCAGUAGGGAAUCUUCCGCAAUGGGCGAAAGCCUGACGGAGCAACGCCGCGUGAGUGAUGAAGGUCUUCGGAUCGUAAAACUCUGUUAUUAGGGAAGAACAAAUGUGUAAGUAACUAUGCACAUCUUGACGGUACCUAAUCAGAAAGCCACGGCUAACUACGUG